Molecule: long non-coding RNA, 1397 nt
Organism: Suricata suricatta (meerkat)
Lineage: Eukaryota; Metazoa; Chordata; Mammalia; Carnivora; Herpestidae
Exons: 3
Source: RefSeq, a predicted model, not a curated record
GUAGCAAACAACCGUGGGAGGUAGAUAGGCUGUCUGCCUCCAGAACAAAGACAGACAAGCUUCCUGCCCCUGAAGAGACUGGAGCCCCUGAGGCGGCCAGAGCCCCUGCCCAGCCCACCCCUGCACUGCAGCCCCCUGGGUGUGCCCUGUCUGGGCCCGUCCGCGUGGCCUCAGGAGGACGUGGGGUGAGAGGAGCCAGGGCAAAGAUGCUGAUGUCUGUGCCGCGGGCUCUUCCGUGAGUGACAAAGCCUUUGUCCCUGAACCGGGAGUCUCUUAUUCUCUGCCAGCGUCGGGCCGUCUGUCGACUUGCAAGGAAGCUCAAGGGAGGACUCAGCCUAAGGACAUUCACGUUGGGUGAGAGUAUGCUGCACACCCCCUCCCCCAUGGUGGCUGGGCCUUGGUGACAUGUCAAGGCACAGAAAACCCAACCAGCAGUGGUUCAGCCCAUCAGGACAUUUGGGUUUACUCAACAUGAAGUCUCAAGCAGAGUCCUUAAAAAACCCCCGAAGUCAUGUAGAUAAAGGAGCCGUCUACACUGACCGAGCAGAGGUGCUCCUCCCUCCGGGGGACCCGCUCCCCAUCUCAGGCCCCCCAGUGAGGGCCCCUCGACUCUGUGCUCGAAAACGGCCCGCACCCCGUGCUCCCCUGGCCACACCUGCUCUGGGUCUCCCGUUCCGGACCCCGUGCCGUCCCGGGGGCACAAGGGACCUCGCUCUGUCCCCCAGAGAGGGCAGGGAUUCUGUCUACUCCGUGCACACAGGCGGCCUGGACUGACAACUGUCCUGAUUCGACAAAUACCUGUGGAAGAGUGAGUGAAUGAAUGAGCGACAGGAGAAACCGUUUUUCCCCACGGAAACAUGAGACUCUGAGACAGACUAGCCUUGGAGAGGCGCUUGCUUUCCUCGUGACCUGGUGAGUCCCAUUUCCUCGUGACCUGGCGAAUACGUCCUGGCGGCCCCUCUGGGAGGGGGCCCCCACCCCAGCCCAGCCCCCUCUCCUCAGGCCGCCAGCGGGGGUCUCCAGAAGCAGCCCCGUGCGCACGCCCCGGGGAGGACCAGGGUUCGGGGGCGGGGGCUGCGUCGGCAACGGUGCUCAGGACCAGCGAAAACCACCACCAACUUCUCAGAGUGGGGCGGCCGCUCUCAGCCGCAGAUACGCAAACUGCGCAACAGUUUGGAGGAAAAGCGUGCGGGGUUCGGUGGAGUUGACCCAAUCUGGCAGGUCCAGGGGUGCCGGGUCUGCUGUGCUCCCGGGUGAGCCCCCACAUCAGGGCAGAAGGAAACACGGACAAGGACUGUCUUUGCAGCAUUGCCUGUAAUAACUUUCAACAAAGAUGGAGGAAGAGAGAAAGAAGCUUUUUAAAAAAGAAAGAAGGAGAGAGAAAGAAAGGGAAAGAA